CCUCCUGUUUGUUUGUUUUUUUUUUAAUUCAGCCCUCGAGGCAAUUAAUUACAUGGCAAGGCUUUGUCCAAUCUGCACUCUCACUGUGAUGCCCAAGUUGAAGAAAGCAGGGAACUACCACAGUGACUAAGAAGAGUUUCCAUGACAGAAGUGAGGCCUUUUAAAAUUUGUGGAACAUGUUCACGCCUACUUUUAAAAUAAAAUUCCAUGAGAUAGGUAGGGCAGAUAGUGCCCACACAUUUUAUAGGUUGGGAACUUAAGAUACUGAGUGCCUGUUUCCAGGUUUUGUUUAGGGGCAAAUGGCAGAAUCAAGACCAGAACUGUCACUCUCAGCUUAAGUUCUGACUUUUUGGUUGGUGUUGGUUGGAACUCAGAGUCUAGCAUGGGUUUUUUAAUUACAUAAAAUAAAGACUGUGAAGCUACCUUCUUGUUUUACAUCCAGAUCCUUUCCUGAGUCUCUCUGUUUUGGGCUAGUUCAUAAUUGAGCUUCCUUGAUAUUGAGUCAUUUGGGAAUUGGGAAUGACAUAAGCCACUCAUCUUAUUACUGUUGGUCUCUCACCAGUCCACAUUUUAGAGAUAUCUAGGUCCCUGAGAGAAUCCCAAAUAUUAUUUCAGUUCUCCUGUAGCUCAUGAAGCCAUAAAUAUUUCACCUCACCCAGGAGAAUCAAAGCAUUUUCACAUUGGUUCUUACUGGGGAGUUGAGAUAUGGGUAAGUAAUAGGAGUCCCAUUCCUGCUUUGGCUGGGGUUCGGGUCUCCAAUUUCACUGCCAGUGUGUCUCUAAAUCUACACAGUGGGACAGUGGCUACAGCAGACAUCACUCAGCUCCCCACUCCUGACUUGAGACCUUCCACUAGUUGCCCCUUCCCCUAAAAACAGAGUGAUGUCAUAAUGGUAUCAGAAUGGCACUUGCUGAUAACAACACAGAAAUAACAAGGGCAGACUUUCUGCAGUGUCUCCUGAGCAAUUGGUUGUCAUUGUCCUAAACAGAGCAGCUAGGUUAAAAAGAUUUAUCCAUAAUGUAACCUCCUGGCCCUCAGCUAUGGGUGGAAGCAGCACUUUCUGGUUUGACCUCCUAAUACCACAAACUCCACUUUGCCAGAAAAGUGACUUCUUGAUGAAUAGUCUGUUCAGAUAGGCCAAUUUGGAGUAUAUUCAUAUUUGGCCACCUGCUGGAGCGUCAAUGACCAAGAGGAGACCAGAUGAGUUUUCAAAGCAGUCCUCAAACACCCAGGACACACCUCAUCCUUUACCUCGUGCUUUCUGCAAUGUUGCUGUUCAUGUUCAUCUUCCUAUUAACAUUUGCCAUAAUAACCCCUCAUUGACCACCAUCAUUCCUCCAUCCACCACCAACUCAGCUCCUUCUCUAAAGUGCCCUCUAAUGGGCAGUGGCUUUGGUCUCUGUUUGGCAAAUUAUGUCCAGAGGGUUAACAUUAAUUUCUCUUUCUCCUAUUCCUCCCUCAUGCUAGAUUCAGUCCAUCACUCAGCCUCCUGUCAGGAAAACCAUAGCAAAUCCUACUUUCUGCUAAAAUGAAGUUACAAGACACUUUUCCAGAGUAGUCACACUCAAUGAAGGGACCCAGGGUGUAUCUGAGUGUGAUGUAAUUGAAACCACAUGGAAAGACUAGAAAUACCUUGCUCCCAGUCAGAUAUAGUGAAACAGCUUACUCAAGACUGGACUAAGAUUUAGAAUAUAGGGGGGCUAGGGAGGAGAAAGAGAAAGAUCCUCAGAAGUGGAUUGUCCCUGAAUACAGGAUGAAAUCAUCUAGAUUUUUUUCUCCAAUUAAAUUUGCAUUUCAUUCAACCACAUUGCAAUGGCUUCAUACUGGGCAUUUUCAUUUGAGACCCAAGGCUUUUCUUCAUGGGUCCUGAGCCACAGGUUCCUGGAUGGUGAGGUAAGCUAGCACUGAUGGAAGAUACCAGGUUUUCAAAUGUGAACUGAAGUCUCUCUUCUCAUGACAAGAUUCAGAUCCAAUUCAUUAUUUAACUAAUAGCCUCUCCAAUAAGUACAAAAAAUCUUGCCUAUCCAGCAGAUAUGUUAGUCCAUUAUUCCUCUAUGUCCCCCAGCCUAUACUUAUUAGACUAGGAAUUAAAGAAAUACAAUCCCCAUUCUUUACUCUUGGCCUACCAGAUAUAGUGAUCCAAGCUUAGUAGAUCAGCAGCUAAUUGCAAGGCUGCUUUAAUAGUGAAUGAAUAAAAAGUUCUGCUAAUUCAGACCUACCCAACACCCAUGAAUUUGUGAUUGAGCUAUCUCUCUGCCUGCUGAAUUCAGGUAGAUAAACAACUGUCCUUCAACCACAAGGUUAAGGCUAAACUUAUGCAGGUAUCUCUAAACAUGCUGCAGAUUGUUCUUUUCUCUCUGUGGCCAUGCUUCCCAACCCCUGACACCUUUCUAUUUAGCCUCUGCUAAGCUCAAGUGUGCUGGAAUCCUGAUCCCUGCCCCAGCCUCAGCCCCCUAUCAUGUGCUUGCUUUAGCUCCCCUGUCUUUGCUGAGAUCCUCACCAUGAAACCAACUCUAGGUAUUCCUGAGUGACUCUCUAGGUUCUCAUUCUCUCCAAUGUGCCUUUUAUCAGCAAGGCAUGGGAAAACCUAUCAUCUGGUUCUCCAAGGUGUCCAGCAGUUAGAAUGGCUGAGAGGAGGGCAUUUGAGUUUGCCCAUCGAUAAUGGGGUUGUGCGAAAAGCAGAUAUUGUCUCAACUGUUCUGAAGUUGAACAAUGUUACUUUCAGGUGAAUAGACUGUUGAGACUAUUUUGAGUUGUUGAUGGCAACCAAAAAAAAAGGGGGAAGGGGUGGAAUUACAGUCACUUUCCUCCAGCAUCCAGUGGUCCUUAAAACUUUCACCCUCAAAUCUCCAAAUAUGCUGGCUUCUAAGAAGUGCUUUCCAAGACCGAAUAUACUUCUUGAUCAGGGUAAGUGAUGAAAAUGUGUAUUUAACAAGGGGAGGGGAUCUUGAAAUAGCCUGAAUUAUGCAUGCUGUGGCCUAUCUACCCCCACCGUGCUAAUGGCUCAGCCUAUAAAGUUUUCAGAAUCAGAAAAAUAAUCAGAGAUGCUAGUUUCUGAAGGAGCGACGGAGGACUAGGAUGACUAGCUAACUCAAGGUGCAUGUAGACUUUCUGCUGUUCUUACUUUAGGAAAGGUUUCUUGGAAGACUGGACCAGGGAGUUCCUAAUUCUUCCCUGGACCAUCUCAGGGGCAUCCUCGGUGUGAGUGGAAGCAUGCUUGGAUGCAGCAGCCUGAAUGAAUGUCAAGUUCACUGCAUCUCCACCACAAACUGGUUGGUUUCAGGCAAAUCCCUUGAGUUUUGGAUGAGGCUAAACCAGCUAGGGCUUUCCUUGAAAUAGGAUGGAGGGGUCUCUUCUCACAGGCAGAGAGCCUUAUUCAGGGGGCAUCUAUUCGCUAACAGGCUUCUUAGGAGGAAUAGAUCAGUCUCGUUAUUCAGAAAAUGUCUGAGAAAGUCCCAGACACCUCCAACUCCACAUGUUGGGGGAUAGACCUGGAAUAUUAAAGAUCAGAGGUUGGAAUCGAGGCAACAUGAUGGAGUGAUGUGGCAUGAGUAUUGGAGCCAUACAGAUAUGAAUUUGAUCUGAUCCUUAGUUUUGUAACUUCAAGUUCUAAGACUUUUAGACAAGCUGUUUAAACGUUAUGGUCUCCAUUUCCCUAGCUUUCAAAUGGGAAAAAUAAUAACUGUUUUGGGAGUGAUUUCUAU
RNAcentral lists this long non-coding RNA (3704 nucleotides) under Homo sapiens (human). Its description in RNAcentral is "HSALNT0362467". Lineage: Eukaryota; Metazoa; Chordata; Mammalia; Primates; Hominidae. The record is from RNAcentral.